GGGAAGAGCGAAGGGGGGAACGCAAAGGGCACGCGCGGGCAGGCCGGAGAGGAGGCCCGGGGGAGGGGCAGGAGAAGCAAAAGCGGAGCGAGGCGGGGUGGGUGACGCACCGGAGUUUGGGUCAUCUUAACUCUUUUUUUUAAGAGACCUAAAAUUAACAUUCUUUUUUGCUCACUUUUGAGACGUACAUAAUUUUUUUUUAUUCGUCUACCCUGGUGGCAAAAAUUUUAUUAGAUCGUGAAUCACGUAGAGUGGACUCGCGUCUAUAAUUAUCAUGAUUUGACCUCAAAUCAGGUAAGAA
RNAcentral lists this unclassified non-coding RNA (301 nucleotides) under Rhizophagus clarus. RNAcentral describes it as "partial internal transcribed spacer 2". The record is from RNAcentral. Lineage: Eukaryota; Fungi; Glomeromycota; Glomeromycetes; Glomerales; Glomeraceae.